This 878-nucleotide ribosomal RNA is filed under the name uncultured eukaryote. Its description in RNAcentral is "SSU rRNA". It matches the Rfam family "Eukaryotic small subunit ribosomal RNA", at positions 569 to 1470 of the family's 1831-position model. The record is from RNAcentral.
AGCAGCCGCGGUAAUUCCAGCUCCAAUAGCGUAUAUUAAAGUUGUUGUGGUUAAAAAGCUCGUAGUUGGAUCUCAACAGCCUUGAAGCGGUUAACUUUGUAGUUUUACUGCUUUAUAGGCUGUGCUUUUGCUGGAGGUUUAGGGGUGCUCUUGAUCGAGUGUCUCUGGAUGCCAGCAGGUUUACUUUGAAAAAAUUAGAGUGCUCAAAGCAGGCUAAAAUGCCUGAAUAUUCGUGCAUGGAAUAAUAGAAUAGGAUGUCGAUCCUAUUUUGUUGGUUUUCGGGACUCGACAUAAUGAUAAAUAGGGACAGUCGGGGGCAUUUGUAUUCAAACGACAGAGGUGAAAUUCUUGGACCGUUUGAAGACAAACUACUGCGAAAGCAUUUGCCAAGAAUGUUUUCAUUAAUCAAGAACGAAAGUUAGAGGUUCGAAGGCGAUUAGAUACCGCCCUAGUUCUAACCAUAAACGAUGCCAGCUAGCGAUCUGCCUGCGUUUUUACUGUAGACUGGGCAGGAAGCUUCCGGGAAACCAAAGCAUUUGGGUUCCAGGGGAAGUAUGGUUGCAAAGCUGAAACUUAAAGGAAUUGACGGAAGGGCACCACCAGGAGUGGAGCCUGUGGCUUAAUUUGACUCAACACGGGAAAUCUCACCAGGCCCGGACACUGGAAGGAUUGACAGAUUGAUAGCUCUUUCUUGAUUCGGUGGGUGGUGGUGCAUGGCCGUUCUUAGUUGGUGGAGUGAUUUGUCUGGUUAAUUCCGAUAACGAACGAGACUCUGUCCUGCUAAAUAGUUUCUACUUCUCUUUUGAGUAGAAAUUUCUUCUUAGAGGGACUGGUGACUCUUAGUCACACGAGAUUGAGCAAUAACAGGUCUGUGAUGC